AUUGAACGCUGGCGGCAGGCCUAACACAUGCAAGUCGAGCGAGCGUCGCAGGGGUGAGUAAAGUCUGUGAAACUGCCUGAAGUAGGGGGAUAACAAUAGGAAAAGGUAUCUAAUACCGCAUACCAUCAGAUGUGCCCAGAUGGGAUUGGAGUGUAGGUGGGGUAACGGCUCACCUAGGCGACGAUCCCUAGCGGGUCUGAGAGGAUGACCAGCCACACUGGAACUGAGACACGGUCCAGACUCCUACGGGAGGCAGCAGUGGGGAAUAUUGCACAAUGGGCGCAAUCCUGAUGCAGCCAUGCCGCGUGUGUGAAGAAGGCCUUCGGGUUGUAAAGCACUUUCAGCGGGGAGGCGUUACCCGCAGAAGAAGCACCGGCUAACUACGUGCCAGCAGCUGCGGUAAUAC
Molecule: ribosomal RNA, 406 nt
Filed under: uncultured bacterium
Lineage: Bacteria
Description: partial 16S ribosomal RNA
Rfam family: Bacterial small subunit ribosomal RNA
Source: RNAcentral